This 478-nucleotide ribosomal RNA is filed under the name uncultured bacterium. RNAcentral's name for it is "partial 16S ribosomal RNA". It matches the Rfam family "Bacterial small subunit ribosomal RNA", at positions 28 to 507 of the family's 1533-position model. The record is from RNAcentral.
GAUGAACGCUGGCGGCGUGCUUAACACAUGCAAGUCGAACGGGAAUUAUUUUAUUGACACUUCGGUCGAUUUCAUUUAAUUCUAGUGGCGGACGGGUGAGUAACGCGUGGGUAACCUGCCUUAUACAGGGGGAUAACAGUCAGAAAUGGCUGCUAAUACCGCAUAAGCGCACAGAGCUGCAUGGCUCAGUGUGAAAAACUCCGGUGGUAUAAGAUGGACCCGCGUUGGAUUAGCUGGUUGGUGGGGUAACGGCCCACCAAGGCGACGAUCCAUAGCCGGCCUGAGAGGGUGAACGGCCACAUUGGGACUGAGACACGGCCCAGACUCCUACGGGAGGCAGCAGUGGGGAAUAUUGCACAAUGGGGGAAACCCUGAUGCAGCGACGCCGCGUGAAGGAAGAAGUAUCUCGGUAUGUAAACUUCUAUCAGCAGGGAAGAUAGUGACGGUACCUGACUAAGAAGCCCCGGCUAACUACGUG